This 419-nucleotide ribosomal RNA is filed under the name Tubulanus polymorphus. RNAcentral describes it as "partial 16S ribosomal RNA". It matches the Rfam family "Bacterial large subunit ribosomal RNA", at positions 1937 to 2607 of the family's 2925-position model. Lineage: Eukaryota; Metazoa; Nemertea; Palaeonemertea; Tubulaniformes; Tubulanidae. The record is from RNAcentral.
UAUCUUGACCGUGCAAAGGUAGCAUAAUCAUUUGUUCUUUAAUUGAGGACUUGUAUGAAUGGAGUAACGUAGAAGAUAUUGUCUCUAUUUUUUUUAUUGAAUUUUCUUUUUAGAUGAAGAAGUCUAAAUUUUUUAAAAAGACGAGAAGACCCUAUUGAGUUUGAUUUUUUUUUUAUAUUUAUAUAUUUUAAAAAAAAUUUAGUUGGGGCAACUGAGGAGGAAAAAAUUCUCUUUUUUUAUAUUUUGAUCCAGUUUUUCUGACAUUAAGAACGAAUUACCAUAGGGAUAACAGCGUAAUUUUUUUUGAGAGUUCUUAUCGAUAAAAAAGAUUGCGACCUCGAUGUUGGACUAAAGUUUCCAAGUGGUGUAGAAGCUGCUUUUGGUGGGUCUGUUCGACCUUUAAAACUUUACGUGAUCUG